GAGAUAAGAGACGCGUUAUCAAACCUAACGGGUUUCUCUAUUAUAUUAGGUCCCACAUGUUAAAUGGUGGGAGAAAAAUGAGAGUGAUAAGAUACCCGUUGUCUAAAUUAUUGGAUUUGUUACCUUUGAUCUUGACUGCAUCAAUGAUUAUUGCGCUUUAUUUUUUUAUUUUUUAUUUUAUCAUUUCCCAUAUUAGAAAUAAAAACGUCAUUCAUAUUCUCUCUUUAAAACCUUCGCCUAUCCCCAAUCCCAAAUCAAAACCCUCAUCCUCUCUUCUUUAUGAAUGAGCCGUCACUUACUCCAACCCCAACCUCAAUUUUUUUUAUGAAAUUCUCCUUCAAUCUAGUGUUCGGCCGAAGAAAAAUAAAACAAAAUCCAAUACCAUUAAAUUGGAUCUAUAUCAUACAUUAAAAUUAACCCGAAACUUUUGAUUUUUUCUGCAUUCUGCUUCUUAAUUUACCUUCACUUUAAUGUAUGAUGUAGAUCCAAUUCAUCAGACCACGUUGUUAUAGAAUUAAUUUCCAAGAAAUUAAGAAGAAAGAGAACAACAAUGAAGGCAAAUUAGAGUAGAAAAAGGAAGAAAUUGGUACUACAGGUGGAUAAAAGACGACACACAACGUAUUUCGGCUGCUAGAAGUCGAUGGAGAUCGUCAUGGUAUCAUACCCUUUUAAUUGCUCCUAAUUGAAGGUUUACGUGACAUAAUUCUUAAACAAAGGAGAAAGAAAAUGGAGUACUCAAGCCUUAUUGAUGUAAUUACAUAUGUAAUUAAAUUUCAGUAAAUUAAAAAAAAAAAUUGUUGCCAUUGUAUGUCGGAUGAUUAUUUGUAUCACAUCAAUUUUAAUUUAACCAAUUGUUAUUUUUAA
Molecule: long non-coding RNA, 864 nt
Organism: Chenopodium quinoa (quinoa)
Lineage: Eukaryota; Viridiplantae; Streptophyta; Magnoliopsida; Caryophyllales; Amaranthaceae
Exons: 2
Source: RefSeq, a predicted model, not a curated record